ACGAACGCUGGCGACGUGGAUAAGGCAUGCAAGUCAAGGGGGCCCGCAAGGGCAACCGGCAAACGAGGUAGUAAGACGCAGGAAUCUACCCGGAAGUUAAGCAUAGCUCGUCGAAAGACGAGGUAAUUCUUAAUAGUCUCGCAAGAGUAAAGGCGCAAGCCGCUUCUGGAAGAGCCUACGCAGUAUCAGCUAGUUGGUGAGGUAAUGGCUCACCAAGGCUACGACGCUUAGGGGAGGUGAGAGCCUGACCCCCACCGAUAGCACUGAGACACGGGCUAUACACCUACGGGUGGCUGCAGCCGAGAAUAUUCGACAAUGGGCGAAAGCCUGAUCGAGCGACGUCGCGUGAUGGAUGAAGUCUUUCGGGAUGUAAACAUCUUUUCCGAGGGAGAAAGUCGGCCUAAAGCCGAUUGAUGUUACCUUGGGAAUAAGGGGUUGCUAAACUCGU
RNAcentral lists this ribosomal RNA (448 nucleotides) under uncultured bacterium. Its description in RNAcentral is "bacterial SSU rRNA". It matches the Rfam family "Bacterial small subunit ribosomal RNA", at positions 29 to 506 of the family's 1533-position model. The record is from RNAcentral.